RNAcentral lists this ribosomal RNA (273 nucleotides) under uncultured bacterium. RNAcentral's name for it is "partial 16S ribosomal RNA". It matches the Rfam family "Bacterial small subunit ribosomal RNA", at positions 523 to 796 of the family's 1533-position model. The record is from RNAcentral.
AUACGGAGGGUGCAAGCGUUAUCCGGAAUCAUUGGGUUUAAAGGGUCCGCAGGCGGAUUAAUAAGUCAGUGGUAAAUCCUCUCGCUCAACGAGAGAACUGCCAUUGAAACUGUUAGUCUUGAAUUCGGUCGAAGUAGGCGGAAUGUGUCAUGUAGCGGUGAAAUGCAUAGAUAUGACACAGAACACCGAUAGCGAAGGCAGCUUACUAGACCUGGAUUGACGCUCAUGGACGAAAGCGUGGGGAGCGAACAGGAUUAGAUACCCUAGUAGUCC